This 76-nucleotide transfer RNA is filed under the name Candidatus Peregrinibacteria bacterium. RNAcentral's name for it is "tRNA-Thr". It matches the Rfam family "tRNA". Rfam says of the family: Transfer RNA (tRNA) molecules are approximately 80 nucleotides in length. Their secondary structure includes four short double-helical elements and three loops (D, anti-codon, and T loops). Lineage: Bacteria; Candidatus Peregrinibacteriota. The record is from RNAcentral.
GCCGUUAUAGCUCAGUCGGUAGAGCGCAAGCAUGGUAAGCUUGAGGUCUCGGGUUCGAUUCCCGAUAACGGCUCCA